Molecule: ribosomal RNA, 450 nt
Filed under: Aurantiocoris purshiae
Lineage: Eukaryota; Metazoa; Arthropoda; Insecta; Hemiptera; Miridae
Description: partial 16S ribosomal RNA
Rfam family: Bacterial large subunit ribosomal RNA
Source: RNAcentral
UGUGCAAAGGGAGCAUAAUCACUUGUCUUUUAAUUGGAGUCUGGUAUGAAUGGUUUGAUGAAAAAUUUACUUUCUUUAUUUUACUUUACGGAAUUUAAUAUCUGAAUUAGAACGUUUAGAUUUAUUUAUAGGACGAGAAGACCCUAUAGAGCUUGACUUUUUAGUAAUAAUUAUUUGUUGGUAAUAAUUAAUAUUUAUUAGGUCAAAGGUUUUGUUGGGGUGAUAAAAAAAAUUUUUUAACUUUUUUUCUUUUUUUCAUUUAUUUUUGAUGAUUUUGAUCCUUUAUUAUGGAUAUAAGAUUAAGCUACCUUAGGGAUAACAGCGUUAUUGUUUUAGAGAGUUCAUAUUGAUAAAAUAGUUUGCGACCUCGAUGUUGGAUUAAAAUUAGUGCCAGGGGCAGAAUAUUGGUUACUAGGUCUGUUCGACCUUUAAAUUUUUACAUGAUCUGAG